This 84-nucleotide transfer RNA is filed under the name Clostridium sp. RNAcentral describes it as "tRNA-Leu". It matches the Rfam family "tRNA". Rfam says of the family: Transfer RNA (tRNA) molecules are approximately 80 nucleotides in length. Their secondary structure includes four short double-helical elements and three loops (D, anti-codon, and T loops). Lineage: Bacteria; Bacillati; Bacillota; Clostridia; Eubacteriales; Clostridiaceae. RNAcentral also lists the same sequence under 2 other names. The record is from RNAcentral.
GCAGAAGUGGCGGAAUUGGCAGACGCGCACGGUUCAGGUCCGUGUGAGAGCAAUCUCAUGAGGGUUCAAGUCCCUUCUUCUGCA